CAAUCCUUUCCCAGUAUUGAGGUUUCAGUUCAAUCUGAAAAUUCUCUUCAGUCUCGUGGUGUAGAACCAACCAAAGUCCAGUCUCAAAAUAGGAACACUCUUCAUUUUCCAGUGGACUUCUCCAGAUCAGUAACUGAAAAGGAUAAUGGGGGUAACUCUGUGAUGACAGAUAGAAGGUUCUUUGAUACUGUUGGUGGUAGUGCUGAAAAUUCCCCACCACUUGAUGAGCAACAAGAUGAAGGAGACCAAAUAGCCAGUGGAGAUUCCAUGGCUGGUGGUGGCUGUGGCACACCAUCUGAAGAUGGAUAUAACUGGAGAAAAUAUGGACA
This 329-nucleotide unclassified non-coding RNA is filed under the name Hevea brasiliensis (rubber tree). The record is from RNAcentral. Lineage: Eukaryota; Viridiplantae; Streptophyta; Magnoliopsida; Malpighiales; Euphorbiaceae.